UUUAUGGAGAGUUUGAUCCUGGCUCAGGAUGAACGCUGGCGGCGUGCCUAAUACAUGCAAGUCGAGCGAACGGAUGAGAAGCUUGCUUCUCUGAUGUUAGCGGCGGACGGGUGAGUAACACGUGGAUAACCUACCUAUAAGACUGGGAUAACUUCGGGAAACCGGAGCUAAUACCGGAUAAUAUUUUGAACCGCAUGGUUCAAAAGUGAAAGACGGUCUUGCUGUCACUUAUAGAUGGAUCCGCGCUGCAUUAGCUGGUUGGUAAGGUAACGGCUUACCAAGGCAACGAUGCAUAGCCGACCUGAGAGGGUGAUCGGCCACACUGGAACUGAGACACGGUCCAGACUCCUACGGGAGGCAGCAGUAGGGAAUCUUCCGCAAUGGGCGAAAGCCU
RNAcentral lists this ribosomal RNA (394 nucleotides) under Staphylococcus aureus. RNAcentral describes it as "bacterial SSU rRNA". It matches the Rfam family "Bacterial small subunit ribosomal RNA", at positions 1 to 384 of the family's 1533-position model. Lineage: Bacteria; Bacillati; Bacillota; Bacilli; Caryophanales; Staphylococcaceae. The record is from RNAcentral.